GACGAACGCUGGCGGCGUGCUUAACACAUGCAAGUCGAACGGUAAGGCCCUUCGGGGUACACGAGUGGCGAACGGGUGAGUAACACGUGGGUGAUCUGCCCUGCACUUCGGGAUAAGCCUGGGAAACUGGGUCUAAUACCGGAUAGGACCACUGCCUGCAUGGGUGGUGGUGGAAAGCUUUUGCGGUGUGGGAUGGGUCCGCGGCCUAUCAGCUUGUUGGUGGGGUGAUGGCCUACCAAGGCGACGACGGGUAGCCGGCCUGGGAGGGUGACCGGCCACACUGGGACUGAGAUACGGCCCAGGCUCCUACGGGAGGCAGCAGUGGGGAAUAUUGCACAAUGGGCGCAAGCCUGAUGCAGCGACGCCGCGUGAGGGAUGACGGCCUUCGGGUCGUAAACCUCUUUCAGCACCGACGAAGCGCAAGUGACGGUAGGUGCAGAAGAAGGACCGGCCAACUACGUGCCAGCAGCCGCCGUAA
RNAcentral lists this ribosomal RNA (478 nucleotides) under uncultured bacterium. RNAcentral describes it as "partial 16S ribosomal RNA". It matches the Rfam family "Bacterial small subunit ribosomal RNA", at positions 28 to 523 of the family's 1533-position model. The record is from RNAcentral.